CUCACAAACGGUAGUCCACACACACACACACACACACACACACACACACCUUAAACACACACUCACCCCUCUGAACACCAUGACCAUGUGGGGAACACAAUGUCCGCGCAGCCGCCCAUGCCACGCACGCAGCUGGAAGCAAAAACAUCUGUCAAGUAGCUGCGUUGCUGACACCGAGGCGGGAGGCAGUCACGAGGAAAAAAAUCUAUCGCUUCCUUUGAGGCCUGAUUUAAUUCCUCCACUUCCUUGUACCUGUGCCGGAGCCCUUGGAAUCACAUUGUUACUGGAGGUGGAGUUAAGCCAAAAGCAAAGCGUGGACUCUGAGACUGUUGUCGUAGGAACUGCUUUAUCUACCACCAGCUGUGCUUCUCCUCUGACUGCCAAAUGAGUCCUGCCAUGUUCACAAAAACAGGCGAGAAGUCCUACCACCCCCUUCAUCAAAGAGAUCCUCAAGUGCCAGCCCAUCCUGCCCCAGACGGGGAGAAAGAUGAAGCCAGGUGUCUUCUGUCUCUGGCCAAGACCAAAGGACCGUGGUCCGUGCCAGCAUCCUCUUGACCUCCAGGAUGCCGGGAAAGGCUGGGCUCCCCUCUGGCUCUUUGCUGCAGCCCAACCCUGCAGGACAUGUUUGUGUUUCCACUAAAACGAGACCAGUGGGGGCUGUGCGCAUACACAAACCUUACCAUCACCUCCUUUGGUCCUCCAGGCAGGAUUUACGUCUAUCUGUUGAUUCUGAGUCGGAUGCGGACUGGGCUGGAGGUGCAGAAAGAGCCGAGAGGAAAGAAGAGUCACAGGAUCGGGGGCUGAUGGAACUUUAAGCAGGGUACGGUGUUUUUCCUUCUUGCUUCCCUCAAGACUUUUUUAUCUUUUUAAUGUAACUUUUUUUUCCUGCCAUUUGGACAUGGUAUGCCUGGGUAUAGAUUUGCUCACAGGCUCCUGCUCUGGCGGUUGUGACUCUCUGUAUCUGCCCCUCUCUCCAGUUCCGGGGCCGCAGUUCGCCUUGUCACCUCAAACCUCUGACAAGUAGUCCAGGUGCUUUCUUUGAACGCUAUAAAGUCACAAUCCUUGACUUUGUCCACAACGAAAAUUCUAUCAUUCACCUGUAAUCACCAAGAAAGAUUACACAAAAACAGCAGCAGUUACAUAUAGAAAUUACACAUUAUAGACUUAAUAGAUUCCAGCCUAGCACUUAGCCUGUGGCUUGUAGCUUGUAGCUUGCAUUUGGUUUAAGAGGAUUAGAAGAAGUGUAGAAUUCAGUCUAAAUUGUUCAGAUUCGUGUCCAAUUUGUAGAUUCUUAGUGGAGGAAAAUCUGUUUGAUUUGGCUUUCACAUGGUCCACCUGUUUUAAUGAAGGCUCCACUGAUUAGGCUUUUACCAGGUUCCCGUAUCUCAGUCAGAGCGGUAGAAAUGCUGUGGGUCGGAUGGGGAGGCAGUGCAGUGGAGCAGCGAGAACACUGCCGGAGGAGUCAGAACACCCAGACUCCAAUUCAUCGUGGACACGAUACUGCAUCGGUGUAUCAACUCAUUCAGUUAUCCUGGAUAUUCCCUUGUCUUGAAAAGAGGUAAUGAAGUCAGACUUACAUAAAAACCAAGGACAUAGCAAGGAAAAAUGGAAUUAGCUUACUUAAAAUAAUAUACCAUUGAUCCUUAAAAAAAAACAAAAACAAAAACACCUAAAUAUAACCCAAACCAAGAAGUGGGAAAAAAAAUGAUUACCAAGGUUGUCAAGUUCUUAAGGUUCAAAAGUUACCCGAGUCCUUAACAAUCCUCAGUAAAAUGUAUAGCCCAUGCCAAUUCCAGGGACCGAAAUUUUAAAUGUUUUAAAAUUUACUCCUGAACAAGUAAUAGUAUACAAAUUUUAUUAAAUAACUGCCAAGGCUCUUGGGUAUAAACAAACUCUUGAACUUAGAACUUGGAAGAAUUAUUUGUAUAUUUUAGAAUUGUGUACUUUUUUAAAGCUAUUAUUUACUACAUGGUAUUCAAAUGUGUUUGAAAAGCUGGAGAAACGUAAUCUCGCAGAAGAGUGAGUACAGGUGAAAAAAGUCAACCUGAUUACUCAGACAUCUACAAUGACACCUGGUGAAUGCAGUAAGACUCACGCCCUGGGAAAGUACCAGGAUUAGUUAUUACUGUACAAAAGCAGAAAACUUGAAACAGUUUGCUUUUCGUUUUCAUCUGCAACCCGAGUAAAUAGGAGUUACUUAGAAGAAUCCUUGAUUGUACAGUGUUUUUUUGAAGUUGGUAUUGAAGGCCAAAAUGUGUAGACUAUUUGCAUCUAAGCUGAUGUUCUCAGAAAAAAGUUACCAACAUUUUAAAGGAAACUGGCAAUCAUUCUAAACCCAGGUUCAUCCAUAACUCUUCACAUUAAUAUUUUAUUCUCCAUAAACAAAAGUCUGUUAGUACUUUUUUAAAAGGCAACCAAUAUAUUUAAUUGCCUCAGGAUGGCCAUUAUUAAGCAGUAACAGGAGGUGCU
Long non-coding RNA from Phyllostomus hastatus (greater spear-nosed bat), 2469 nucleotides. RefSeq lists it as uncharacterized. The transcript has 3 exons. Lineage: Eukaryota; Metazoa; Chordata; Mammalia; Chiroptera; Phyllostomidae. The record is from RefSeq and is a predicted model, not a curated record.